Transfer RNA from Wallemia sebi, 110 nucleotides. It matches the Rfam family "tRNA". From Rfam's summary of the family: Transfer RNA (tRNA) molecules are approximately 80 nucleotides in length. Their secondary structure includes four short double-helical elements and three loops (D, anti-codon, and T loops). Lineage: Eukaryota; Fungi; Basidiomycota; Wallemiomycetes; Wallemiales; Wallemiaceae. The record is from Rfam.
GGUAAAGUCGGAUAGUGGUUAUUCCGUUGAUUUCAAGCUUAGUUGCUUUCCAAGUAUCUUGGAGAUUGUCAAUGCCUUGUGCGUCGAGAGUUCGAAUCUCUCCUUUACCA